This is a long non-coding RNA of Culex quinquefasciatus (southern house mosquito), 467 nucleotides long. RefSeq lists it as uncharacterized. The record is from RefSeq and is a predicted model, not a curated record. The transcript has 3 exons. NCBI's taxonomy places the organism in Eukaryota, Metazoa, Arthropoda, Insecta, Diptera, Culicidae.
CAUCGAUUUUUUGACAGAUUGACGAAUCGCCCGUGUCGACGAAAAUACUUUGACAGUUUGAAUCAAGCAAAAACAUGUUAUGACGAACAGAAGUGCAAGAUUGUAGUUAAAAAAUACGAAUAAAUGCAAACCAAAAUUGCAGCAUAAAAACCGGAUACCAGGUAACCCGUGGAACUGUAGUUCGAUGCCGGGAAUAGCAUCGGCCUAACCGCCGCAGUACUACAAACAGUCGGCACCGAUCCUGGCCAACACCAUCGGGCACGACACAAUCCAGCUGGGGACAACCGCAGUCUCGUCAAAAUGCAGUAGGUUCCGUUGCCUCAGCGGUAGCCCCGAAUCGUGCCGAGGAUCGUGUCAGGGCACACAGGAGGACGUACUGGACAAGAUUUACAACGAUUCAGCGAUUCAACCUCCUUUACGACGUUCGCAGCAUCUAUACCCGGAUCCGGAGAACGCCUCCCAUAGGA